RNAcentral lists this ribosomal RNA (468 nucleotides) under uncultured bacterium. RNAcentral describes it as "partial 16S ribosomal RNA". It matches the Rfam family "Bacterial small subunit ribosomal RNA", at positions 28 to 507 of the family's 1533-position model. The record is from RNAcentral.
GACGAACGCUGGCGGCGUGCUUAACACAUGCAAGUCGAACGGCAAGGCCCUGCUUUUGUGGGGUGCUCGAGUGGCGAACGGGUGCGUAACACGUGAGUAACCUGCUCUUGACUUUGGGAUAACUUCAGGAAACUGGGGCUAAUCCCGGAUCGGAGCUCCUGCAGCAUGGUGGGGGUUGGAACGUUUCGGCGGUCGGGGAUGGAUGCGCGGCUUAUCAGCUUGUUGGUGGGGUAGUGGCUUACCCAGGCAUUGACGGGUCGCCGGCCUGUGAGGGUGGCCGGCCACAUGGGGACUGAGAGACGGCCCAGACUCCUACGGUAGGCAGCAGGGGGGAAUAUGGCACAAUGGGCGGGAGCCGGAGGCAGCAACGCCGCGGUCGGGAUGACGGCCUUCUGGGUGUAAACCGCUUUCGCCUGUGACGAAGCGGGAGUGACGGUAAUGAAUAAAGAAGCACCGGCUAACUACGUG